RNAcentral lists this ribosomal RNA (422 nucleotides) under uncultured bacterium. RNAcentral's name for it is "bacterial SSU rRNA". It matches the Rfam family "Bacterial small subunit ribosomal RNA", at positions 355 to 776 of the family's 1533-position model. The record is from RNAcentral.
UGAGGAAUAUUGGUCAAUGGGCGGUAGCCUGAACCAGCCAAGUCGCGUGAGGGAAGAAUGUCCUAUGGAUUGUAAACCUCUUUUGUCGGGGAGCAACUCUGCCACGUGUGGCAGACUGAGAGUACCCGAAGAAAAAGCAUCGGCUAACUCCGUGCCAGCAGCCGCGGUAAUACGGAGGAUGCGAGCGUUAUCCGGAUUUAUUGGGUUUAAAGGGUGCGUAGGCGGAAGAUUAAGUCAGCGGUAAAAUUGAGAGGCUCAACCUCUUCCCGCCGUUGAAACUGGUUUUCUCGAGUGGGCGAGAAGUAUGCGGAAUGCGAGGUGUAGCGGUGAAAUGCAUAGAUAUCACGCAGAACUCCGAUUGCGAAGGCAGCAUACCGGCGCCCAACUGACGCUGAAGCACGAAAGCGUGGGUAUCGAACAGG